This is a non-coding RNA of Pelobates cultripes (western spadefoot toad), 272 nucleotides long. The record is from the annotation of a GenBank genome assembly. Lineage: Eukaryota; Metazoa; Chordata; Amphibia; Anura; Pelobatidae.
GUUUGAUUCCUGAUGAUGAGAAGCAUUAAGCAAUGCUUAUAAAACUGUAGUCAUAGAUCCACCUUAAAUCUGGCAACGCCUGUAUUUCCUUUUAAAAUUCUGCCGCGGUAGAAAGUUUGAGCAAUAGGUUUACGUGAUAGAUUUAACCAUUUCCUGACGUUAGCGCAUGCUAUGCUGUCCUACAAAAAGAAGGCCACUGUUAGUGCAUGCUAUGCCCUCCCUCCAGCCUGGAUACUUACCCUGUGUUCCAAUUGUGAUCAGGGGACCUGUCU